CUGUGCGUGUGACAGCGGCUGAUCUGUCCCUGGGCAGCACAACC
RNAcentral lists this non-coding RNA (44 nucleotides) under Otolemur garnettii (small-eared galago). The record is from RNAcentral. Lineage: Eukaryota; Metazoa; Chordata; Mammalia; Primates; Galagidae.